UACAGAGGUCUCAAGCGUUGUUCGGAUUCAUUGGGCGUAAAGGGUGCGUAGGCGGCGCGGUAAGUCGGGUGUGAAAUCUCGGGGCUUAACUCCGAAACUGCAUUCGAUACUGCCGUGCUUGAGGACUGGAGAGGAGACUGGAAUUCACGGUGUAGCAGUGAAAUGCGUAGAUAUCGUGAGGAAGACCAGUGGCGAAGGCGGGUCUCUGGACAGUUCCUGACGCUGAGGCACGAAGGCCAGGGGAGCAAACGGG
RNAcentral lists this ribosomal RNA (253 nucleotides) under uncultured bacterium. RNAcentral describes it as "partial 16S ribosomal RNA". It matches the Rfam family "Bacterial small subunit ribosomal RNA", at positions 524 to 776 of the family's 1533-position model. The record is from RNAcentral.